AAUCCAUUGUGCGGGCAGUCGCACUAAUCUCUUGAACCUCGCCCAUGCGUCACUGAGCAAUUCGUCUUCUUCUUGUUCAAAAUUUGCGAUCAACUUCCUCCUUCU
Molecule: non-coding RNA, 105 nt
Organism: Benincasa hispida (wax gourd)
Lineage: Eukaryota; Viridiplantae; Streptophyta; Magnoliopsida; Cucurbitales; Cucurbitaceae
Source: RefSeq, a predicted model, not a curated record